GAGGAAUGAAUGGAUUUUCACCACCAAUGAGUUAAGACAACCAAGAGAGAGUCAAGGGAAGAAGAAAAUCUUCAUAAUAUUCAUUUAAAAUGGUCCAAAACCGUGCACCAAGCAAGCACCCAUGAGAGCAUGUCCAAAACAAGAAAAACCCUAGGAGAAUGAAACCAAAAACGUAGGAUGAGUUUCUAAGUGUGUGGCUCGGUAUUCACAUCCUAUAUGACCAAGAAUUACAAUUUGGUAGGGUCCACACACUACAAGUCAGCCCUAAAGAGAUGCCACAUAGCCCCCACAAUUUGGUUUUUACAAAAAUGUCCCUAAAGGGCUCCAAAACACCUAAUUCUAAUUAAGGGCUUCUAGAAAACGAAAUUACAAUUUAAUUAAAAAGGAAAUGACUAAAUUUUAAGUCUUGAAUGAUCACGCCACCUUCCCUAAUGCUC
Molecule: long non-coding RNA, 437 nt
Filed under: Vigna radiata
Lineage: Eukaryota; Viridiplantae; Streptophyta; Magnoliopsida; Fabales; Fabaceae
Description: long non-coding RNA (VRAD_LNC016118)
Source: RNAcentral